Molecule: ribosomal RNA, 507 nt
Filed under: uncultured Lactobacillus sp.
Lineage: Bacteria; Bacillati; Bacillota; Bacilli; Lactobacillales; Lactobacillaceae
Description: bacterial SSU rRNA
Rfam family: Bacterial small subunit ribosomal RNA
Source: RNAcentral
AGCGAGCGGAACUAACAGAUUUACUUCGGUAAUGACGUUAGGAAAGCGAGCGGCGGAUGGGUGAGUAACACGUGGGGAACCUGCCCCAUAGUCUGGGAUACCACUUGGAAACGAGGUGCUAAUACCGGAUAAGAAGCAGAUCGCAUGAUCAGCUUUUAAAAAGGCGGCGUAAGCUGUCGCUAUGGGAUGGCCCCGCGGUGCAUUAGCUAGUUGGUAAGGUAAAGGCUUACCAAGGCGAUGAUGCAUAGCCCGAGUUGAGAGACUGAUCGGGCCACAUCGGGGACUGAGACACGGGGGCCCAAACUCCUACGGGGGGGAGGGGCAGCAGUAGGGGGAAUCUUCCACAAUGGACGCAAGUCUGAUGGAGCAACGCCGCGUGAGUGAAGAAGGUUUUCGGAUCGUAAAGCUCUGUUGUUGGUGAAGAAGGAUAGAGGUAGUAACUGGCCUUUAUUUGACGGUAAUCAACCAGAAAGUCACGGCUAACUACGUGCCAGCAGCCGCGGUAAU